ACCAGCCCAACUCAAAACCAAACCGCCGCAAAAUUUUCUCCGAUCCCAUUUGGGAGUCAUCGUCGCCGCCGCCGCCGCCGCCGCGAGAGGGAUCCGAUCGCCGGUUCAUGGCUGGUGCAGCGGUGGAAAUGGGGCGAGGUGCCGGCGCCGGGAGCGUUGAACGCAUCGAGUGUCUCCUCCUGGCGUGGGGGUGGACACCAGCACAACCUCAAGUUGGAAGUGACAAUGUGAUGCCGCAAUCACGAACACAAGACACGUUGAUAAGCCUGCCGUUCUGAACGAAGGCAUUUGUAUGAUCCAAAUGUGAUCAUUUAAGUCAUUUAUUGCAAGGUAUAUCGUCCCUUGCUUAUCAAGGUGUAUCUGUGUAUGUUUUUAGCAAAUGGUUAAUUACAUACCAGUUUAGAUUA
Molecule: long non-coding RNA, 407 nt
Organism: Triticum dicoccoides
Lineage: Eukaryota; Viridiplantae; Streptophyta; Magnoliopsida; Poales; Poaceae
Exons: 2
Source: RefSeq, a predicted model, not a curated record